This 776-nucleotide ribosomal RNA is filed under the name uncultured Neocallimastigales. RNAcentral describes it as "partial large subunit ribosomal RNA". It matches the Rfam family "Eukaryotic large subunit ribosomal RNA", at positions 20 to 643 of the family's 3401-position model. Lineage: Eukaryota; Fungi; Neocallimastigomycota; Neocallimastigomycetes; Neocallimastigales. The record is from RNAcentral.
UACUAGAGUAGCACUCGCAUAUCAAUAAGCGGAGGAAAAGAAACUAACAAGGAUUCCCCUUAGUAACGGCGAGUGAAGCGGGAAGAGCUCAAAUUUGAAAUCUUCAAGGUUCUACCUUGACGAAUUGUAGUUUAUAGAAGUGUUUUCUGUUAGUAGGAGUGGCAAAAGUUCUUUGGAAUAGGACAUCAUAGAGGGUGAGAAUCCCGUAUUUGGUCAUUCCUCCUAGCGUUGUGAUACACUUUCAACGAGUCGGAUUGUUUGGGAAUGCAGUCCAAAAUGGGUGGUAAAUUUCAUCUAAAGCUAAAUAUUGGCGAGAGACCGAUAGCGAACAAGUACCGUGAGGGAAAGAUGAAAAGAACUUUGAAAAGAGAGUUAAACAGUACGUGAAAUUGUCAAAAGGGAAGCGUUUGACACCAGUGUUGUUUUUCCGAAAAUCAAUUACGAAUGUUUUGUUUUUAAGAAGUUAUGACUUCAUCGGCUUGCUUCUUUCUUUACGAAACUUUCUUAAUGCACUUUUCGGUUAACAAGUCAACAUCAAUUUCUUUUGUUGUAAAAGGGUAUGAGGAAGGUGGCUUUCUUUUCGGAGAAAGUGUUUAUAGCCUUGUGCCUCUGCAAUCGGAGAGAUUGAGGUCUGCAGCGUAGAUCCUUCGGGGUUAGAUACGUUUGUGCUAAGUUAUAGCUUUUCAUAGACAACUUGUUGACUAUGUUUAGUCUUGUAGCUUACUCGCUGACGCUAUUUUACCUACGCUUAGGAUGUUGAAGAUGUAGCACAUCAU